CAGUAGCCACGGUAAUACGAAGGGUGCAAGCGUUACUCGGAAUUACUGGGCGUAAAGCGUGCGUAGGUAGUGGUUUAAGUCCGUUGUGAAAGCCCUGGGCUCAACCUGGGAAUUGCAGUGGAUACUGGGUCACUAGAGUGUGGUAGAGGAUAGUGGAAUUUCCGGUGUAGCAGUGAAAUGCGUAGAGAUCGGAAGGAACAUCUGUGGCGAAGGCGACUAUCUGGGCCAACACUGACACUGAGGCACGAAAGCGUGGGGAGCAAACAGGAUUAGAUACCCGCGUAGUCCCUGUCUCUUAUAC
This 301-nucleotide ribosomal RNA is filed under the name uncultured bacterium. RNAcentral's name for it is "partial 16S ribosomal RNA". It matches the Rfam family "Bacterial small subunit ribosomal RNA", at positions 509 to 807 of the family's 1533-position model. The record is from RNAcentral.